UACGUAGGGUGCAAGCGUUGUCCGGAAUUAUUUGGGCGUAAAGAGCUCGUAGGCGGCCUGUCGCGUCGGCUGUGAAAACCCGGGGCUCAACCCCGGGCCUGCAGUCGAUACGGGCAGGCUAGAGUCCGGCAGGGGAGACUGGAAUUCCUGGUGUAGCGGUGAAAUGCGCAGAUAUCAGGAGGAACACCGGUGGCGAAGGCGGCCUGCUGGGCAGUUUUGGCUGACACUGAGGCGCGACAGCGUGGGGGAG
RNAcentral lists this ribosomal RNA (250 nucleotides) under uncultured bacterium. RNAcentral's name for it is "partial 16S ribosomal RNA". It matches the Rfam family "Bacterial small subunit ribosomal RNA", at positions 524 to 769 of the family's 1533-position model. The record is from RNAcentral.